AGUGCACUGCACAGGGGUCCCUGACAGUGCCCGUGCUUGGCUGUGAUCGCUGCCUGGCGUCUCCGCUGCUCCACUGGAUGUUUGCGCAGAGGACAUUCGCCUCCGCCGGCGACAGCACCGAUCCCCGCGGCUCAAUCCAGCUCGUUCCCACACCUUUAACUUUUUCCAACGCGUGACUGUUUAGUCGCGGUCAACCCUUUCCGACACUGACUAUGUUCCUCUCGGGUGAGAAAACCCUGUAGAGCCAGGCGUUUAUUUGACUUCCAACUUGCGGGCUUGAUGGCACAGUUCUCUGAGACAGGUUUGGAAAGUUGAGCUGCGUCGAGGAAGCAUGGGCGCAAACUUUAAAAGCUUUUUAUAAUCGAGCGACAGUUUUUUAUUUUAUUUUAUUUUAUUUUUAAUUUUUUUUUUUUUUUAGAAUGAAGGCAGGUGAGUCACCCGUCGCGUGAGAGGCGCGCAUAGCUCCACGGCUCUCCAGGUGCGGGGAAGGAAAAGGCUACACGGAGGAAGUCGUGAUCUGUGCUGCGGAUUGCGCUACGGAGGACGGAGGGAACGGACCGAUGAGACAACAUGGGUCCACUGCUGUGUGAUGGACGACUGACACACCUCCUCUUUCCUCUCCUCCUCCUCUUGCGGGCUCCCCUGCUGUUCAGCUUUGGCGAGCGCACCUGCCCCAAUAGCUGCAGAUGUGAGGGGAAAACUGUCCAUUGUGAUUCAUCUGGCUUCAUAGAUGUACCAGAAAACAUCUCAAUUGGCUGCCAGGGCCUCUCCCUGCGCUACAAUGAACUGCACACCCUGCUACCAUAUCAAUUCGCCCACCUCAGCCAGCUUCUCUGGAUAUACUUGGACCACAAUCAGAUUUCAGCUGUUGACAGUCGAGCAUUCCAGGGGGUCCGCAGGCUUAAAGAGCUGAUACUGAGCUCCAACAGGAUCAAAUCCCUGCACAAUUCUACAUUCCACGGGAUUCCUAAUCUUCGCAGUCUGGACUUGUCCUACAACAAACUGGAAAUCCUGCAGCCAGGUCAAUUCCAUGGCUUACGCAAGCUGCAAAACCUACACCUACGCUCAAACGGUCUCUCCAACAUCCCGAUUCGAGCGUUCCUCGAGUGCCGAAGUUUGGAGUUUCUUGAUUUGGGCUACAAUCGAAUCAAGGCUCUCACCCGCACCACCUUUUUGGGCCUACAGAAGCUGAUGGAAUUGCACCUGGAGCACAACCAGUUCUCACGGAUCAACUUUUUUCUGUUUCCGCGCUUAGCCAACCUGAGAUCACUGUAUCUGCAGUGGAACCGCAUUCGGGUGGUAAACCAGGGCCUUCCCUGGACUUGGUAUACGCUGCAGAAACUUGAUCUUUCAGGAAAUGAAAUCCAGACCCUGGACCCAGCUGUGUUUCACUGCUUGCCCAACCUUCAAGUCCUCAACCUGGAAUCCAACAAACUGUCUAACGUGUCUCAGGAGGCGGUGUCGGCAUGGAUCUCGCUGACCUCCAUCAGCCUUGCUGGGAACAUGUGGGAUUGUGGGACUGGCAUAUGCCCCCUUGUGGCUUGGUUGAGAAAUUUUCGGGGAAGUAAAGACACCACUAUGAUAUGCAGCAGCCCAAAGUAUCUCCAGGGAGAAAAAAUCAUGGAGGCCACGAGGAACCACGGUAUUUGUGAGGAGACUGAUUACGUUCUGACUGAAACACCCUCACCAACGUCAGAGCUCAUUUCUGAAGCCACUGCUGAACCAACCUUUGCCCCGACUAGCAGCUCUCCACCCAUGCCACCAAGCAGCACCUUUGGUCCCCCCCCACCGUUCAGACCUCAACCUAUCCCUCAUCCUACUUUUCCGGGGCAUAUGAGCAAAAACCCUAGAGACUCAGUCGCUCGCACUCGACCCACUCACACACCACCCCCAGAGGUGGAGCACAUGACUCUGCAUAAGGUGGUGGUGGGCAGUGUGGCACUCUUCUUCACCAUGUCCCUAAUCUUGACAAUUAUCUAUGUGUUGUGGCGGCGCUACCCGGGUGCAACCAGGUUGCUGCAGCAGCGAUCCAUGGUGGGGCGGAAGCGUCGCAAAAAGAGUCCAGAGCCAGAGCAGAACCUGAGCUCCCAGCUCCAAGAGUAUUACAUGAGCUACAACCCUGCUGCCACACCGGAAGCAUUGGAGGUUCUAGGCAAUGGCACUGGUUCCUGCACUUGCACAAUUUCUGGCUCCAGGGAGUGUGAGGUAUGAUCCAUCGCAUCAGCCUAAAAAUAAAAACUCAAAAUCAAAAUACAAAGGCUCAACACAGAGAAUGAGUAUACGUGUCCACGCCCCCUACCUGGUGCCUGGCUUGGAGAUGUGCCUACCAUCCAUUAACCCCCCCACCAACAAAGGUAACUGCUUUGGAUGGUUGCAGCAAACCACAGUGAAACAGGGAUACACAGGAGAGGGACACGUGAAGAGAACCCAUCAGGAUCCUACUCCCAUUACUCACAUUCAAGAAUACAUUUCAAAUGGUCCUCCACGCUAACAAGGACAGCCAUGGACCAGGGCAAAGAGGAGAUAAUACUGUCUUUUUCUUUUUCUUAAGAUUUUAUAACAUGUUUUUUUUUUUUUUUUUUUUUUGACCUGUGGUCACUGGUCAUCAGCUUUGUUGCAUUUCUUCACGCUUUCACUACACAAACACUGACGUCGAUCAUUGUGGAAAUGCAGUCCUAUGGUGAACAGCAGAGCACUGGAAGAAGACUCAUGAGCACUGAUGGAUGGUUCUAACCAACACGUGAGCUUACUGUAUAGACUGCAAUAGCUUAUUGUCUCCAUGAGGACAACGUGGCAUUGUUUUAAAAAACACAGGCAAACGACUGUACAAAAUCCAAGAGGCUUUAAAAAAGUGUAAACUGAGCAAUGCAUCAUUAUUGAAAAUGCACUGAAGAGGUAGCUCUGACCACUCUGCUAACACAGCUGUGUAUAAUUUAAAGUGGGUUUGCAUACUUUGAUUCCAUAUGAAGCAUCAUGUUUUCAUCUUUCAGUAUUUUUUUCUUUUUUUUUUUAAGAUAGACUAAUCAAAGGAUGAUGUAAAUGUGCCUCACUGGAGCGGAAAAAUUAUGAGAUGAGUCACUGAUUUUCUGUGCACCUGUCAGUAAAGAGGAGUGAGGUGGAAAUCAAGUCAGCAGCUGGAAGAUUGUUUGAAGCGUGGGAAAAGUUGCCAGAGGAAAAGCAAACUAUCCCCCAGCCAAUGACUUUUGGUGAGUUUUUUUUUUUUUUUUUGGUUUGUUUGUUUGUUUGUUUGUUUGCUCUUUUUAAAAAAAAUUUCUAAGUUGUUUCUAAUUGCAAUCAAACAGUGGCGAUCUAGUUUGAUUUGGAGGACAGGAGAGGCAAUCAAAAGCAAAAGAGGGAAAAAAGAAAAAAGCUCCUAUCAAGGCUAAAAUGUACUUUUCUGCAAUUGUAAUGUUGUUAAUGUUGUACUUUAUGAAUAUGUGUUCCUGCCAUUAUCAACACCAAAUACCAAAGAGCCAAAUGAAGCAUUUUUUUUUGGCGUUUGGCUCUCCCAACCAUGGGCUAUAAACUAUUCAGGAUUUGUCCCCUUAAAGGUACUAUAUGUAAGAAUGUGGUGUAAUUUACAUGUGUUAAUCACUUUUUUUAUUGCCAAUGUGUGAACGGAGUAUGGUGAACCUAAAAAAUGAGACCCAAGAUGUAUUCGCUCUCCUACAGCACUGGUUCUCAAACCUUUUCACAUCAAGGACCCCUGAACUGACACAAAUUACACCAUGGACCCCACUCUGAUAAGAUUUUUGCUUUUAGAUAUUUUAUCACAGAAAGUUUUUGAAAUCCAUGGAAUUACAGUGGAAAUAAAUGAUUCCCCUCUGUCCUGGGGACCCCCAGGAAAUGCCUCAAGGACCCCUCGGGGUCCACAGACCCCUCUUUGAGAACCACUGCCCUACAGCACCAACAGUGUGCAACACUAGCUAACGUUAGCUUAGAACUGAAGUCCGCUAACGUCAACAAACAACCGGCUCCCAGCACAAAACGAAAUGUAUUUGACAUUUUUCCAGUCUAAGGUUACUCGUACCACUCCUAUCACCCCUGAUGGUUUAGUAUUGUCAUUGCCUCAACCCACUGCCAGACCCAUUCUGUACAGUAGCGUUAGCCAAACUAUGGUCUCGCAUAGCCAGACCUGCCCCCACACUUUGUUUUAGCACCAUGUCAGCGCUGGAAAGUCAAAUACAGUCUAAAGUAUAGCUAAUUUAUAGUCAAACUAUGGUUAUAUUCACUCUCAUAUAGGCUAUGUCACGUCACUGUUUUGGUUGAUUCCCUGAAUGCUCACUGUACCUAUGCUAACUCUAGUUCACUUAAUGGCCACCAUUAUUAUCAUUAUUAACAAGGGGUUUCCUGAAUGUUACAUAUAGCACCUUUAAAAGAAAUCCACGAAAAAUCAAAAGAAGCCUCAACUCCUCUCACAUCCAGCAGUGCUCUGUAAACCGAAUCUGCUUUUUUUUCCCCAUGUGUGUAAUGUGUACGUCUUUGUGAACCAAUGUUGCAACGACAGUCUUGGUUAGGAAGCACUUGUCUGAAAGAUAACUCUGAGCACUGCUUUACAUUUUGUGACUUCUGUUUAACACAUGCUUCACUUUCCUUAAAAUAAUCAGCCCGUCUCUCUCUCUUUCUCUCUCUCCUCUCGAGAAGAGAUAGCAGAUGUUGCUGUGUGUGAUUCUGCGUGUGCUUGUGUUUCAUCCAUUAUAAGUUUUUAAUUAUAUUUGAGACGCAUUUAGUUGUGAAUUGUUUGUUUCAACCUGCAAACAUAAUCUUUCUACGCCAGAAAAUGGUAAUUUUCUAUUGUAAAUUUCUGCUUUCCCCCCUUCAAUUUGUUGAUAUUUAGUAAGCAGCUGUAUUCUUUGUUCACUUUCAACAGUAUGUUUUAUAAUGAAAAUAAUGACUUUAUUGUUGAGCAAUAUGAAUUGGUCAAAUUAAAAUAAUCAUUAAUCA
Molecule: RNA transcript, 4944 nt
Organism: Seriola aureovittata
Lineage: Eukaryota; Metazoa; Chordata; Actinopteri; Carangiformes; Carangidae
Gene: lrrtm4l1
Gene name: leucine rich repeat transmembrane neuronal 4 like 1
Exons: 3
Source: RefSeq, a predicted model, not a curated record